RNAcentral lists this ribosomal RNA (383 nucleotides) under uncultured bacterium. RNAcentral describes it as "bacterial SSU rRNA". It matches the Rfam family "Bacterial small subunit ribosomal RNA", at positions 30 to 416 of the family's 1533-position model. The record is from RNAcentral.
AUUGAACGCUGGCGGCAUGCCUUACACAUGCAAGUCGAACGGCAGCGGGCCUUCGGGUGCCGGCGAGUGGCGAACGGGUGAGUAAUGCAUCGGAACGUGCCAUUGAGUGGGGGAUAACGUAGCGAAAGUUGCGCUAAUACCGCAUAUUCUGUGAGCAGGAAAGCAGGGGACCGCAAGGCCUUGCGCUCUUUGAGCGGCCGAUGUCAGAUUAGCUAGUUGGUGAGGUAAAGGCUUACCAAGGCGACGAUCUGUAGCGGGUCUGAGAGGAUGAUCCGCCACACUGGAACUGAGACACGGUCCAGACUCCUACGGGAGGCAGCAGUGGGGAAUUUUGGACAAUGGGGGCAACCUGAUCCAGCCAUGCCGCGUGAGUGAAGAAGGCC